RNAcentral lists this transfer RNA (77 nucleotides) under Halioglobus sp. Its description in RNAcentral is "tRNA-Arg". It matches the Rfam family "tRNA". From Rfam's summary of the family: Transfer RNA (tRNA) molecules are approximately 80 nucleotides in length. The record is from RNAcentral. Lineage: Bacteria; Pseudomonadati; Pseudomonadota; Gammaproteobacteria; Cellvibrionales; Halieaceae.
GCGCCCUUAGCUCAGCUGGAUAGAGCAAUGCCCUUCUAAGGCAUCGGUCUCAGGUUCGAAUCCUGAAGGGCGCACCA